CCUACGGGAGGCAGCAGUGAGGAAUAUUGGUCAAUGGGCGCGAGCCUGAACCAGCCAAGUCGCGUGAGGGAGGACGGCCCUACGGGUUGUAAACCUCUUUUGCCGGGGAGCAACGGGCGCCACGUGUGCCGUCACUGAGAGUACCCGGAGAAAAAGCAUCGGCUAACUCCGUGCCAGCAGCCGCGGUAAUACGGAGGAUGCGAGCGUUAUCCGGAUUUAUUGGGUUUAAGGGGUGCGUAGGCGGAUGGUUAAGUCAGUGGUAAAAUUGGCGGGCUCAACCCGUUCGCGCCAUUGAAACUGGCGUUCUUGAGUGGAAGAGAGGUAUGCGGAAUGCGUGGUGUAGCGGUGAAAUGCAUAGAUAUCACGCAGAACUCCGAUUGCGAAGGCAGCAUGCCGGCCUCCGACUGACGCUGAAGCACGAAAGCGUGGGGAUCGAACAGGAUUAGAUACCCCGGUAGUC
Molecule: ribosomal RNA, 460 nt
Filed under: uncultured bacterium
Lineage: Bacteria
Description: partial 16S ribosomal RNA
Rfam family: Bacterial small subunit ribosomal RNA
Source: RNAcentral